GGGGAGCCUUCAUGAACAGUCGAGGGGCAGCGGGUAGAUGAGCUUGCUCAUUUAUGCCGGCGACCGGCGCACGGGUGAGUAACACGUAUGCAACCUGCCCGCCUCAGGGGGAUAAUCGUCGGAAACGGCGUCUAAUACCCCGUAUGAAGCUGGACGGCAACGUCUGGUUUUGAAAGAAUAUCGGAGACGGAUGGGCAUGCGGCGCAUUAGCUAGUUGGCGGGGUAACGGCCCACCAAGGCGACGAUGCGUAGGGGUUCUGAGAGGAAGGUCCCCCACACUGGUACUGAGACACGGACCAGACUCCUACGGGAGGCAGCAGUGAGGAAUAUUGGUCAAUGGGCGAGAGCCUGAACCAGCCAAGUCGCGUGAGGGAGUACUGCCCUAUGGGUUGUAAACCUCUUUUGUCGGGGAGCAAAAGCCGGACGUGUCCGUCUGUGAGAGUACCCGAAGAAAAAGCAUCGGCUAACUCCGUGCCAGCAGCCGCGGUAAUACGGAGGAUGCGAGCGUUAUCCGGAUUUAUUGGGUUUAAAGGGUGCGCAGGCGGAUUUUUAAGUCAGCGGUCAAAUCGUGGGGCUCAACCCCAUCCAGCCGUUGAAACUGGGGAUCUAGAGUGUGCGAGAGGUAUGCGGAAUGCGUGGUGUAGCGGUGAAAUGCAUAGAUAUCACGCAGAACCCCGAUUGCGAAGGCAGCAUACCGGUGCACAACUGACGCUCAGGCACGAAAGCGUGGGUAUCGAACAAGAUUAGAUA
RNAcentral lists this ribosomal RNA (750 nucleotides) under uncultured bacterium. RNAcentral's name for it is "bacterial SSU rRNA". It matches the Rfam family "Bacterial small subunit ribosomal RNA", at positions 44 to 784 of the family's 1533-position model. The record is from RNAcentral.